GACGAACGCUGGCGGCGUGCUUAACACAUGCAAGUCGAACGGUAAGGCCCUUUCGGGGGUCCCCGAGUGGCGAACGGGUGAGUAACACGUGGGUGAUCUGCCCUGCACUUUGGGAUAAGCCUGGGAAACUGGGUCUAAUACCGGAUAGGACUACGCGAUGCAUGUCGUGUGGUGGAAAGCUUUUGCGGUGUGGGAUGGGCCCGCGGCCUAUCAGCUUGUUGGUGGGGUGAUGGCCUACCAAGGCGACGACGGGUAGCCGGCCUGAGAGGGUGUCCGGCCACACUGGGACUGAGAUACGGCCCAGACUCCUACGGGAGGCAGCAGUGGGGAAUAUUGCACAAUGGGCGCAAGCCUGAUGCAGCGACGCCGCGUGGGGGAUGACGGCCUUCGGGUUGUAAACCCCUUUCAGCACAGACGAAGCGUAAGUGACGGUAUGUGCAGAAGAAGCACCGGCCAACUACGUG
RNAcentral lists this ribosomal RNA (464 nucleotides) under uncultured bacterium. Its description in RNAcentral is "partial 16S ribosomal RNA". It matches the Rfam family "Bacterial small subunit ribosomal RNA", at positions 28 to 507 of the family's 1533-position model. The record is from RNAcentral.